Megalobrama amblycephala (Wuchang bream) is the source of this 1114-nucleotide non-coding RNA. NCBI's taxonomy places the organism in Eukaryota, Metazoa, Chordata, Actinopteri, Cypriniformes, Xenocyprididae. The record is from the annotation of a RefSeq genome assembly.
UACUGCCCCCCUUAUCUAACAGUAUGUACAGUUCUGAUAUUUAUGCAUUCUGUGUAGCUUGUAUCUUAUCUUCACCAUUUUAUCCCUUUAUAUUUCUCUUAGGUUUCACCAUUCAGGGACCGAUAUAGCUGACAUCACUUCCUCCCGCAUGUGCCUUUGAUUCACAGCAGAAAAACUUGGUGAAAGAAACCAUGAUGAACACGUUUGACAGCAUAUGUGUAUAUCUAAUGAUGUUUACAGCCGCAUGUCUGGGUAAAACUGUUGUCCAGACGCCUGCUAACCUCAUCAAGAAUCAAGAUGAAUCUGCUGUGAUCAUAUGUGCUCACAAUGUACAGAGCUCUGAACGAAUAUUGUGGUACAAACAAAGUCAGGACUUGUCGGGCUUCAAGUUGAUGGGAUACCUUUAUUACAAAGCUAAUACUAGCGAGCCUGAAUUUUUAAACAAGAUCAUAUUGGAGGGAGAUGCAGAGAAAAAUGGCACUCUGACUAUCAAGAACCUCAUGCUGAAUGACAGUGCAGUGUAUUUCUGUGCAGCAUAUGACACAGUGCUCAGAAUCACAUCUGUCUAACACAAAAACUUGUGAAAAGAAAAUUUAUGUUUCUCCUCGCAGGUUUAGAUUCUGACUCACUGUCAAUACUAAACACAAUUAGUCUUGAAGCAAAUAUUUUGUUCUAAAGGGUUUUAGUUUUUAAAAGUAUUGAUUACUGUUAAGUUUUGAUGAUGGAUAAAACUAUGAUGAAGUGCAACAUGUUAGAAGAAUUUUAGACAGGAUAUAUUUGAGCCUACAGUACAAUCAACAUUUAGGACUUAUCUUUAACUGUCUGUGCAGCCUAUAGGCUAGCUGACAUCACUUCCUUCCUCUUGUGCCUUUGCUUCAUAACAGAAGAACUCACUUUAGUAGAAAGAGCUGACAUGAUGAACACUUUCCUUAGCAUAGCUGUAUGUCUAUUGUGGCUAACAGGUAAUAGUACAAAAUAUGAUGUUGUGCAAACUGUGAUUAACUUUAAUGUAAAUGUUAUUUCAAUGCUAUACUGAUCAUUUUAUUUGAAUCAUUAAUGCUCACUACAAACAGUAUUAUCUCUCUCCAUGCACAGUGGUAAAUCAUGCAAAAAC